AUACGUAGGGGACGAGCGUUGUCCGGAAUUACUGGGCGUAAAGGGCGCGCAGGCGGAUAUUUAAGUCAGCUGUAAAAGGCAUGAGCUCAACUCAUGUAUGCGGUUGAAACUGGGUAUCUAGAGUGCUGGAGAGGUAGGCGGAAUUCCCGGUGUAGCGGGUAAAUGCGUAGCUAUCGGGAAGAACACCAGUGGCGAAGGCGGCUUACUGGCCAGCAACUGACGCUGAGGCGCGAAAGCCAGGGGAGCGAACGGGAUUAGAUACCCCGGUAGUCCUGGCCGUAAACGAUGAAUGCUAGGUGUGGGUGUCGAGAGGCAUCCGUGCCGGAGUUAACGCGAUAAGCAUUCCGCCUGGGGAGUACGAUCGCAAGAUUGAAACUCAAAUGAAUUGGCGGGG
Molecule: ribosomal RNA, 394 nt
Filed under: uncultured bacterium
Lineage: Bacteria
Description: partial 16S ribosomal RNA
Rfam family: Bacterial small subunit ribosomal RNA
Source: RNAcentral